UGGGGCUCUGGCUACGUCGAGGACACUAGCUGAUGCAGCUGCUGUUGGGGAGGAACGGUCUCGUUGGUCUACUGCCUAGGGUCCUCGGUCUACUGCGGUGACUACUGAUGAUGAUGGGCCUCCUACGGAUGAUGAUGCACUGCUGGCGACUACUGAACCUCGUCAAUCCUCCGAGGGUCCGUCUUCCGGAACGGAAAAGCUAGCAACGACGAAAACACGAUCGGAAGAAUUCCGUUGGAACAAGUUGAGUACAUACAUGAGUCUAUAACAACGAAGGCAACUGAGAACACAAAAGCUCGAAUACAUAAGCUCGGGAGCUC
RNAcentral lists this ribosomal RNA (320 nucleotides) under Triticum aestivum (bread wheat). RNAcentral's name for it is "partial small subunit ribosomal RNA". The record is from RNAcentral. Lineage: Eukaryota; Viridiplantae; Streptophyta; Magnoliopsida; Poales; Poaceae.